This 2240-nucleotide ribosomal RNA is filed under the name human gut metagenome. RNAcentral describes it as "bacterial LSU rRNA". It matches the Rfam family "Bacterial large subunit ribosomal RNA", at positions 14 to 2261 of the family's 2925-position model. The record is from RNAcentral.
AGAGCGCAUGAAGGAUGCCUUGGCACCGGUAGGCGAUGAAGGACGUGUAAAGCUGCGAUAAGUCGCGGGGAGCUGCAUACAAGCUUUGAUCCGUGAAUUUCCGAAUGGAGAAAUCCGUCAGAAGUAAUGUUCUGUCAUCAUAAACUGAAUCCAUAGGUUUAUGAAGCGAGACGCAGUGAAGUGAAACAUCUCAGUAACUGCAGGAAAAGAAAUCAAAAGACAUUCCGCAAGUAGUGGCGAACGAACGCGGAGGAGCCCAAACCAGGCGGCUUGCCGUCUGGGGUUGCGGGACCCCGAUGUGAUAUCACGGAAGUUAGUUGAACGAUCUGGAAAGUUCGUCCAAAGAGGGUGACAGGCCCGUAAACGACAACCGAAGUGAGUCUAGGGGUAUCCCAAGUAGGUCGGCACACGUGAAACUCCGACUGAAUCCGGGGAGACCACUCUCCAAGGCUAAAUACUAACCGGUGACCGAUAGUGAACAAGUACCGCGAGGGAAAGGUGAAAAAGUACCCCUGUUAGGGGAGUGAAAAGUAUCUGAAAUCAUGCGCUUACAAAGUGUGGGAGCCCUUCGGGGUGACCGCAUGCCUUUUGCAUAAUGAGCUUGCGACUUACUUUAUGUAGCGAGGUUAAGCCAGUGGCGAAGCCGAAGCGAAAGCGAGUGCGAAUAGCGCGUCUAGUUGCAUGAAGUAGACCCGAAACUGAGUGAUCUAUCCAUGGUCAGGCUGAAUCUCCGGUAACACGGAGUGGAGGGCCGAACCGGUAAGUGUUGAAAAACUUUCGGAUGAACUGUGGAUAGGAGCGAAAGACCAAUCAAACUCAGUGAUAGCUGGUUCUCUUCGAAAUAUCUUGAGGGAUAGCCUUGCGUUUAAUUAGUGCGUGGGGGUAGAGCUCUGAUUGUUAGAGGGUCCCGACAGGGAUACCAAAAACUGUCAAACUCCAAAUACCACGAUACUGUAUCGCAGGAGUCAGACUGUGGGGGAUAAGCUUCAUAGUCGAGAGGGCAUCAGCCCAGACCGUCAGCUAAGGUCCCUAAUUUAAGCUAAGUGGAUUGAAGGAUGUGGAGUUACGUAAACAACCAGGAUGUUGGCUUAGAGGCAGCCAUCAUUUAAAGAACGCGUAAUAGCGCACUGGUCGAGCGAUUCCGCGCCGAAGAUGAUCGGGACUAAGCUUAAAACCGAAGCUGCGGAUUCUAAGUUUACUUAGAAUGGUAGAAGAGCGUUGUAUGUGGAUCGAAGCCGAUAUGAAAAUGGAGGUGGACUUCAUACAAGUGACCAUGCAAGCAUGAGUAGCGAAAAACCGGAUGAGAAUUCCGGUCACCGAAAGACUAAGGUUUCCUGGGCAAGGUUCGUCCUCUCAGGGUUAGUCGGAACCUAAGGCGAGGCGGAAACGCGUAGUCGAUGGACAAUUGGUUAAUAUUCCAAUACCACCUUAUCGGAGUGAUGGAAGGACGCAGUUGCUAAUGUGAUUCUGGCUAUAUGCCAGUCGAAGAUCAUGGGACGCCGGGGGUUAAAUGACCCGGCAUCAGUCUGAAGAUUGACAGGCGGUGGAUCCUUCGGGUGAAUCCGUUUCACUGAUGCUAUACUGACGAGAAAAGCUCCUAAACGUUGAUGAUAGGGUGUCCGUACCGCAAACCGACACAGGUAGUCGAGGCGAAAAGCCUAAGGUGCGCGAGUGAAACCACUUCAAGGAACUCGGCAAAUUGGCCCCGUAACUUAGGGAGAAGGGGUGCCCGACGGGUGAAAGCCCGGAGGGUUUCAACAAAGAGGCCGCGGCGACUGUUUAACAAAAACACAGCUCUCUGCUAACUCGCAAGAGGAUGUAUAGGGAGUGACACGUGACCAAUGCCGAAAGGUCAAAUGGAUCCGUCAGCAGCAAUGCGAAGCGGUGAUAUGAAGCCCCGGUGAAUGUCGGCCGUAACUAUAACGGUCCUAAGGUAGCGAAAUUCCUUGUCGGGUAAGUUCCGACCUGCACGAAUGGUGUAACGAUCGCGGCACUGUCUCGAAGUGGAGCUCGGCGAAAUUGUAAUUCCGGUGAAAAUGCCGGAUACCUGCAGUAGGACGGAAAGACCCUGUGAACCUUUACUGUAAUCUGAUAUUGGUAUUCGUGUGUUCAUGUGUAGUAUAGGUGGGAGGCUUUGAAGCCGCCGCGCCAGCGGUGGUGGAGUCAUCAGUGAAAUACCACCCUUGAUAACUUGAAUAUCUAACUGAAGCCCGUGAAUCCGGGAUUGGGACAGUGUCAGA